Camelus ferus (Wild Bactrian camel) is the source of this 71-nucleotide transfer RNA. It matches the Rfam family "tRNA". Rfam says of the family: Transfer RNA (tRNA) molecules are approximately 80 nucleotides in length. Their secondary structure includes four short double-helical elements and three loops (D, anti-codon, and T loops). Further hydrogen bonds mediate the characteristic L-shaped molecular structure. tRNAs have two regions of fundamental functional importance: the anti-codon, which is responsible for specific mRNA codon recognition, and the 3' end, to which the tRNAs corresponding amino acid is attached (by aminoacyl-tRNA synthetases). tRNAs cope with the degeneracy of the genetic code in two manners: having more than one tRNA (with a specific anti-codon) for a particular amino acid; and 'wobble' base-pairing, i.e. permitting non-standard base-pairing at the 3rd anti-codon position. Lineage: Eukaryota; Metazoa; Chordata; Mammalia; Artiodactyla; Camelidae. The record is from Rfam.
GGGGUUAUAGCUCAGUGGUAGAGUGUAUGCUUAGCAUGCACGAGGUCCUGGUUCAAUCCCCAGUACCGCCA